This 903-nucleotide ribosomal RNA is filed under the name Triticum aestivum (bread wheat). Its description in RNAcentral is "partial small subunit ribosomal RNA". Lineage: Eukaryota; Viridiplantae; Streptophyta; Magnoliopsida; Poales; Poaceae. The record is from RNAcentral.
AUGGCCGCCGCCGCGACCGCCACCGCCACCGCCGUCCGCCUCCACGCGGCGGCCACGCGACGCGCCGCCCCGCGCCGGCCGGCGCGCCUCGCGGUGCGCGCGGACGCCGCGCGGGCGGCGACGGCGCUGACGCAGGACGACCUCAAGCGGCUCGCGGCGGUGCGCGCGGUGGAGCAGGUGCAGAGCGGCAUGGUCCUGGGGCUCGGGACGGGGUCCACGGCCGCCUUCGCCGUCGCCGAGAUCGGCGCGCUCCUCGCCAGCGGGAAGCUCUCCGGCAUCGUCGGCGUGCCCACCUCCAAGCGCACCUUCGAGCAGGCCGCUCGGGAUCCCGCUCUCCACGCUCGACGACCACCCCGUCAUCGACCUCGCCAUCGACGGCGCCGACGAGGUCCUCUCCUCCCUCUUCCCUCGCCAUUGACUUUCUCUCUGCACCGUACCAUUUUAGUUCUGACGACUCUUACUGAGGUCGACCCAGAUCUUAACCUUGUCAAAGGGCGGGGUGGAGCCCUUCUCCGAGAGAAAAUGGUCGAGGCCGCGUCAGGAAAGUUUGUCGUCGUCGUCGAUGAGACGAAACUCGUUACCGGCCUGGGAGGGAGCGGCCUCGCCAUGCCGGUGGAGGUUGUGCAGUUCUGCUGGAAGCACAACCAAGUAAGGCUGCAGGGUCUGUUCAACGAAGAAGGCUGCGAGGCGAAGCUGAGACUGAAUGAGGAUGGCAAGCCCUAUGUUACCGACAACUCGAACUACAUUGUCGAUUUAUACUUCAAGACGCCGAUCAGGGACGCGUUGGGCGCGGGCAAGGAGAUUGCGGCUUUGGAAGGAGUUGUUGAGCAUGGGCUGUUCUUGAACAUGGCAACUUCAGUGAUCAUUGCUGGAUCUGACGGCGUCAGUGUCAAAACAAAGUGA